AAGUAGAGUGCCGGCGCUGUCGGGGAGCUCCUGCCCUGACAUUGCUGGCUUUGAAGAUGGUGGAAGGAGAUCAAUCAAGGAAGCAGGUGGCCUCUAAAAGCUGGAAAAAGUACAGAGAGCCUCCACCUUGAUCUUGGCCCAGUUAGAACCCUGUCAGGCUUCCUUCUACCGAGCUGUAAAGGAUGAUUAACCCUGAGCUAACAUCUACUGCCCAUCCUCCUUUCUUUGCUGAGGAAGACUGGCCGGGAGCUAACAUCUGUGCCCAUCUUCCUCUAUUUUAUAUGUGGGAUGCCUGCCACAGCAUGGCUUGACAAGUGGUGCAUAGGUCCACACCCAGGAUCCGAACAGGUAAAAUCUGGGCUGCAGAAGUGGAAUGUGAGAACUUAACUGCUGUGCCACUUGGCUGGCCCCUAAAGUUUUCUCUAUCAGAACCUCAUAGAAUGGGAAAACAUCAUUAUUCCUCUGCAUUUUAAGGGAGUUUGUGAAAGAUUGGUGUUACUUCUUCCUUAAAUAUUUGAGAUUCAUCAAAGAGACUAUAACUUCUGAAUGUGACGUUAUUUGGAAUAAGCAUCUUUGAAGAUGUAAGUAAGGCAAGGAUCUCAAGACAAGAUCAUCCUGGAUUAGGGUGGGCUGUAAAUCCAAUGUUAGUGACCCAGUAAAAGAAAGAAAAGGAGAAGACAGACACAGAGGAAAAAGCCAUGUGAAGUUGGAGGCAGAGAUUGGAGAGCAGCAACCAGGCAAGGAAUACCGAAAAUUGCCAGCAGCCACCAGAAACAAGGAGGCAUGGAAUAAUUCUCCCUCAGAGAAUUCAGAAAGAACCAAAUCUAUUGACACCUAGAUUUUGAACUUUUGGCCUCUAGAAUUGUGAGAGAAAUUUCUGUUGUGUUAAACUGCCCAGUUUGUGGUAAUUUAUUAUGGUAGCCCUAGGAAAUUAAUAUCCUUGCAAGGUGUUAAUUUUACUAAUCACUUUAGAGAACCAAUAGUUGCUUUUAUUAAUUUUCUUUAAUGUUUAUUUUCUAUUUAAUUUCUGCUCUGACGUUUAUUUUUUCCCAACUUAUUUUGGGUUUAAUUUUUCUAGUAUUUUUUUUUUUUUGAGGAAGAUUAGCCCUGAGCUAACAUCUGCUGCCAAUCCUCCUCUUUUUGCUGAAGAAGAUUGGCCUUGAGCUAACAUCCAUGUCCAUCUGCCUCUACUUUAUCUGUAGGACGCCUGCCACAGCGUGGCUUGAUAAGCAGUGUGUAGGCCCACAUUUGGGAUCCAAACCGGCGAACCCAGGGCCACUGAAGCAGAAUGUGCAAACUUAACAACUACACCACUGAGCCAGCCCCAAAUUUUUCCAGUUUUUUAAGGUGGAAACUUAGAUCAUUAUUUACAAACCUUUCAUCUUUUCUACUAUAACCAUUUAAAACUAUAAAUUUCCCUCUAAACACUGCAUUCCACAUAUUUUGGCACGUUUUUAUUAUUAUUUUGAAAUUUAUUGUAACUUCUUGUUACUUUUUGAAUCAUAGGUUAUACAGAAGUGAGGCAUUUAAUUUAAAAAUAUUUAGGGGGUUUCUAUAUAUGUUACAGUAAUUUCUAAUUCAAUUCCAUUUAGGUCAGAUAACAAACAUUAUAUAUAGUUUUCAUCUUUUGAAGUUUCAGUCAUUUUAUGACUUGUAUGGUUUGUCUUGAACAUUCCAAGUGCAAUUGAAAAAUAUGUUUAAUCUAUAUUCGUUUUAGACGUAGUGUUGAAUAAACUCAAUUAGGUUGAUAAUGCUGUUCCAAUUUUCUUUAAUCAAUAGUAUCUCUAACUCUGAUUGUAGAUUUAUAUAUUUCUCCUUUUAGGUCAGCUAGAUUUUCAUGAAUUUUAAGGAUGUUGUUAUCUUUUCCUGCUUAUCUAAUUUAUCGUUAUGAAAUGAACCUCUUAAUCCUUGAUAAUGUUUCUUAUUCCGUGGUCUACCUUUUUGGUAUUAAUAUAGCCACAGUAGCUUUUCAUGCUUACCAUUAACAUGGUAUAUAUUUUUUCAUUUUUUGCUUUUGACU
This 2020-nucleotide long non-coding RNA is filed under the name Equus caballus (horse). RNAcentral's name for it is "lncRNA (ENSECAG00000051174.1)". Lineage: Eukaryota; Metazoa; Chordata; Mammalia; Perissodactyla; Equidae. The record is from RNAcentral.